AUUGAACGCUGGCGGCAUGCCUUACACAUGCAAGUCGAACGGCAGCACGGGUGCUUGCACCUGGUGGCGAGUGGCGAACGCGUGAGUAAUACAUCGGAACAUGUCCUGUAGUGGGGGAUAGCCCGGCGAAAGCCGGAUUAAUACCGCAUACGAUCCACGGAUGAAAGCGGGGGACCUUCGGGCCUCGCGCUAUAGGGUUGGCCGAUGGCUGAUUAGCUAGUUGGUGGGGUAAAGGCCUACCAAGGCGACGAUCAGUAGCUGGUCUGAGAGGACGACCAGCCACACUGGGACUGAGACACGGCCCAGACUCCUACGGGAGGCAGCAGUGGGGAAUUUUGGACAAUGGGCGAAAGCCUGAUCCAGCAAUGCCGCGUGUGUGAAGAAGGCCUUCGGGUUGUAAAGCACUUUUGUCCGGAAAGAAAUCCUUGACUCUAAUACAGUCGGGGAAUGACGGUACCGGAAGAAUAAGCACCGGCUAACUACGUG
RNAcentral lists this ribosomal RNA (486 nucleotides) under uncultured bacterium. RNAcentral describes it as "partial 16S ribosomal RNA". It matches the Rfam family "Bacterial small subunit ribosomal RNA", at positions 30 to 507 of the family's 1533-position model. The record is from RNAcentral.